RNAcentral lists this ribosomal RNA (253 nucleotides) under uncultured bacterium. RNAcentral's name for it is "partial 16S ribosomal RNA". It matches the Rfam family "Bacterial small subunit ribosomal RNA", at positions 524 to 776 of the family's 1533-position model. The record is from RNAcentral.
UACGUAGGGGGCUAGCGUUGCUCGGAAUCACUGGGCGUAAGGCGCACGUAGGCGGCUUGUUAAGUCAGGGGUGAAAUCCUGGAGCUCAACUCCAGAACUGCCUUUGAUACUGGCGAGCUUGAGUCCGGGAGAGGUGAGUGGAACUGCGAGUGUAGAGGUGAAAUUCGUAGAUAUUCGCAAGAACACCAGUGGCGAAGGCGGCUCACUGGCCCGGUACUGACGCUGAGGUGCGAAAGCGUGGGGAGCAAACAGG